GAUGAACGCUGGCGGCGUGCCUAAUACAUGCAAGUCGAGCGAACGGACGAGAAGCUUGCUUCUCUGAUGUUAGCGGCGGACGGGUGAGUAACACGUGGAUAACCUACCUAUAAGACUGGGAUAACUUCGGGAAACCGGAGCUAAUACCGGAUAAUAUUUUGAACCGCAUGGUUCAAAAGUGAAAGACGGUCUUGCUGUCACUUAUAGAUGGAUCCGCGCUGCAUUAGCUAGUUGGUAAGGUAACGGCUUACCAAGGCAACGAUGCAUAGCCGACCUGAGAGGGUGAUCGGCCACACUGGAACUGAGACACGGUCCAGGCUCCUACGGGAGGCAGCAGUAGGGAAUCUUCCGCAAUGGGCGAAAGCCUGACGGAGCAGCGCCGCGUGAGUGGUGAAGGUCUUCGGAUCGUAAAACUCUGUUAUUAGGGAAGAACAUAUGUGUAAGUAACUGUGCACAUCGUGACGGUACCUAAUCAGGAAGCCACGGCUAACUACGUG
RNAcentral lists this ribosomal RNA (497 nucleotides) under uncultured bacterium. RNAcentral's name for it is "partial 16S ribosomal RNA". It matches the Rfam family "Bacterial small subunit ribosomal RNA", at positions 28 to 507 of the family's 1533-position model. The record is from RNAcentral.